CCUACGGGGUGCUGCAGUGGGGGAUAUUGCACAAUGGGGGGAACCCUGAUGCAGCGACGCCGCGUGAGGGAUGAAGGUCUUCUGAUCGUAAACCUCUGUCAGCAGGGAAGAACGGUCACUGUGCUAAUCAGCAGUGAAUUGACGGUACCUGCAAAGGAAGCACUGGCUCACUCCGUGCCAGCAGCCGCGGUAAUACGGAGGGUGCGAGCGUUAAACGGAAUUACUGGGCGUAAAGCGCUCGUAGGCGGUAUGUCAAGUCAAGGGUGAAAUCCCCGCGCUCAACGUGGGAACUGCCUUUGAAACUGGCAAACUGGGGUGUGUGAGAGGAGAGGGGAAUUCCAGGUGUAGGAGUGAA
This 355-nucleotide ribosomal RNA is filed under the name uncultured bacterium. RNAcentral describes it as "partial 16S ribosomal RNA". It matches the Rfam family "Bacterial small subunit ribosomal RNA", at positions 338 to 685 of the family's 1533-position model. The record is from RNAcentral.